CCUACUAACUCCUACGGGAGGCAGCAGUAGGGAAUUUUCGGCAAUGGGGGAAACCCUGACCGAGCAACGCCGCGUGAAGGAAGAAGGUUUUCGGAUUGUAAACUUCUGUUAUAAAGGAAGAACGGCGGCUACAGGAAAUGGUAGCCGAGUGACGGUACUUUAUUAGAAAGCCACGGCUAACUACGUGCCAGCAGCCGCGGUAA
RNAcentral lists this ribosomal RNA (203 nucleotides) under Lactiplantibacillus plantarum. RNAcentral describes it as "partial 16S ribosomal RNA". It matches the Rfam family "Bacterial small subunit ribosomal RNA", at positions 328 to 523 of the family's 1533-position model. Lineage: Bacteria; Bacillati; Bacillota; Bacilli; Lactobacillales; Lactobacillaceae. The record is from RNAcentral.